GAUCCUGGCUCAGGAUGAACGCUAGCUACAGGCUUAACACAUGCAAGUCGAGGGGCAUCAGGGAUCCAGCUGCUGGAUUGCUGGCGACCGGCGCACGGGUGAGUAACGCGUAUCCAACCUGUCCCAGUAGUAGGGAACAGCCCGGCGAAAGUCGGAUUAAUGCCCUAUGUUGUUCCUUGAGAGCAUUUGAUUGGAACCAAAGAGUUUAUCGCUAUGGGGUUGGGGAUGCGUCCGAUUAGGUAGGACGGCGGGGUAACCGGCCCACCGUGCCUUCGAUCGGUAGGGGUUCUGAGAGGAAGGUCCCCCCACAUUGGAACUGAGACACGGUCCAAACUCCUACGGGAGGCAGCAGUGAGGAAUAUUGGUCAAUGGGCGCGAGCCUGAACCAGCCAAGUAGCGUGCAGGAUGACGGCCCUAUGGGUUGUAAACUGCUUUUAUGCGGGGAUAAAGUGACGUACGUGUACGUUUUUGUAGGUACCGCAUGAAUAAGGACCGGCUAAUUCCGUGCCAGCAGCGGC
This 518-nucleotide ribosomal RNA is filed under the name uncultured bacterium. Its description in RNAcentral is "bacterial SSU rRNA". It matches the Rfam family "Bacterial small subunit ribosomal RNA", at positions 15 to 518 of the family's 1533-position model. The record is from RNAcentral.